GAUGAACGCUGGCGGCGUGCCUAAUACAUGCAAGUCGAGCGAACAGACGAGGAGCUUGCUCCUCUGACGUUAGCGGCGGACGGGUGAGUAACACGUGGAUAACCUACCUAUAAGACUGGGAUAACUUCGGGAAACCGGAGCUAAUACCGGAUAAUAUAUUGAACCGCAUGGUUCAAUAGUGAAAGACGGUCUUGCUGUCACUUAUAGAUGGAUCCGCGCCGCAUUAGCUAGUUGGUAAGGUAACGGCUUACCAAGGCAACGAUGCAUAGCCGACCUGAGAGGGUGAUCGGCCACACUGGAACUGAGACACGGUCCAGACUCUUACGGGAGGCAGCAGUAGGGAAUCUUCCGCAAUGGGCGAAAGCCUGACGGAGCAACGCCGCGUGAGUGAUGAAGGUCUUCGGAUCGUAAAACUCUGUUAUUAGGGAAGAACAAAUGUGUAAGUAACUAUGCACGUCUUGACGGUACCUAAUCAGAAAGCCACGGCUAACUACGUG
RNAcentral lists this ribosomal RNA (497 nucleotides) under uncultured bacterium. RNAcentral's name for it is "partial 16S ribosomal RNA". It matches the Rfam family "Bacterial small subunit ribosomal RNA", at positions 28 to 507 of the family's 1533-position model. The record is from RNAcentral.